Triticum aestivum (bread wheat) is the source of this 134-nucleotide non-coding RNA. The record is from Rfam. Lineage: Eukaryota; Viridiplantae; Streptophyta; Magnoliopsida; Poales; Poaceae.
AUUCUACUCCCUCCGUUGCACAAUACAUGCCUUCUAUUUGUCAAAAUAUAUGUAUCUAGACACGUCUUAGUAUAUAGGUACAUCCAUUUUUGGACAAAUGGAAGUCAAGUAUUUUGGAACGGAGGGAGUACACA